AGAGAGGUCCAGCUGAUGUCACUGUAUCAUCCAACAGUCCAGUAGCGCCUUAUCCAUCCAUCAGCUGUUAAUUAUAAUUAGACUCAAUGCUUUUGUAAUAAGUCAGCAGUUUUUGUUGUUUUAAUUUUUUUUUAAAAGAGUUUAUCUCCUUAUUUCACUAAAUUUACCAGUAAAAUACAGAUUAUCAAGUUUAUUUUAAAAAAAAGUCUCAUUUUGGAACCACUGUUAUAUAACAGCUAAUAUUGACACGCCCUCGCAGCCAUAGAGCCUGUUUGAGAAUCAGCCCCAUCAACCAAGUCCGAACCACAAUGCUGGAAAUGGGAACACCGCCAUCCUCUGCUGUGUAAAUGAGGGAAGCCUCAGUAAAGCAGGCGGAGGAGGAGUAAACCAGAGAGGAGCACAAAGCCUAAAGCAGCAGUCCCUCCCAAACAGGACUGUAAAAGAAAAAACUACAGCCUCUGAGACGGACAGGGUAACAAGAGCAAGAUCUUAAGGACAAAAGUAAAAUACAAGAAGAUUAAUUUUUUUUUUGUCUCAGUCAGAUUGCAAUUAUUUGUCUUCCUUUAGGAGCUGCAGCUCCUAAACAACAAACCAACUAACUAGCUGUAACAAACGCUGCAGGAGACAGCUUCUGGGAACAUAGUAUAGCGUGUUUACAUGGUCUCCACCCAGUCCUCCUCCUCUUCUGCUGGCACAGGAAACUUCUGACACUUACUGUGGGCUUGACUAAGUGUGGGAAAACAGCUGAGACUCUCACAGGAUGGAUGCCAGACAGGAGACAGUGGGCCUCCUGAACAAAAUAUGGCUCAAGCUUCAAAGUCUGCCCAGCGCCCACCCUUUGGAGAUGGCAGGCUUCUUCAUCCUCCUAAUCUUCAUCUUUACGGUCAUUCUCAUGGCGGUGCUCACCUGUGUGAGCCACCGCUGCUGCUGCCGCUGCUGCCCCUGUUGUAAGCCCAAACAGGACGGACCCAAUGUUUGAGUGAACGUUUUUACUAUCAGACAGGUUUUUCCUGCGGAUCUGCAAAGCACAAUGUUUAGAAAUCCUGCCAGGGUUUCGGAUAUAAACCAUACAGAGUGCACAAAAAGGGCAGGGCCCCAGAACAACUAAGCUAACUGUUGGGAUCAUGUUCUGGGCUACAAAGAACACCUGUCAAUGCUGCCAGGCUUUCAGGAGAAGCGACAUUCCUCUGGAGCAUCCCUGCCACCUGCAGAGCGACAACAGCUCAUCUACCUUGACGAAAUGGGGCCGGUCCCAGACCAAACUGAACAUGCUUCCGUGCCUUUAAAAAUAGUAAGCCGCACAGUGUUAGAUGAGCAGAAAUUAAGAAACAUAUUAAAACGAGAGAGAAAAAACGAAGCACAAGGCAGCCAGGAAAGCAGCCGAAAGUUGAUGAAGAUUGAAAGCAGUGAUAGCAAAGUCUCCUGCUCCAAUUUAAGUUCAAGGAGUGAAGGUUUAAGUGGUGAUCUGUCCAGUGAGGAAGAGGAAGUCUGAGGGCAGCACAUUAGAGACCUAACAAACCAGAACCCUACAGAGGGAUUCAUAAGAUCUCUGUGGUAAAGGAACAUGUGUGGCAAAACUAUAAUUCCAAAAUGUUAAAUCUGGCAGUACUCAGGUAGAAUUAAAUAUUGUUUCACUUUAUACCAGCGCUGUUACUCUAGUGUGCAUCACUUCGGUUACUUCCAACAAAACAACGCUUUAAGUUAGGGAGCAGUGAAAAGGUUGUGUAAAACAUAACACCAGUGAACGGAAGCAGCUGAAAGUCUCCCUUUUCUACAAACAAUCGGCUUGCAAUUUACUCAGAAUGGUUUAAUUGGCAGCUACAUAAUCGUAGUUCAAAGUGUAAGUUUACAGUUAAUUUUCUCACAACAACAAAAAAGUCCCUUAAAGUAAAUGCCACAUAAGAUAGUUGGCAGGGAAAUUAGAACCCUGAUAUACAAUCUGGACUUUUUGUCCCAGGUGGGUGACAAGAAAUGACAAGAAAUCUGCACUUCUCACCUAUUUACUUUCACAUAUCUCAUCCACUUUUUCUGUGUAUAGUUUAUUUGGAGAAAGUAAGAAUGGUCACUCGAUUCUUUUCUGUGUUGCUAACUGGCAACAUUUGACAGAUGUAUUCCUGUUGGAAGGCCUUUUUUGUUCAAGUAAAAAACAAUCGGUAUUAUGCAUUUCUGUUUUAGAGGGGUGGGACUCCAAAUGGUCUUUUUGUGUCAGAAAAAUGAAUUUUAAAAUGACUUAUCUACUUUGAAAAAUAAUGAAAUGGACAAUUGUUAAUUUAAUUAUGUUUCAUACUUCCAUCACUUUUAGGAGAUUUGUCCGUAAAAUAUCUUUGCCCUUUGAAGUGUUCCUUAACAGCAGGGAAUUAGAGGGGCAAGUGCACCCUCUGCUGUUUUGAAAUUGAAAAGUGGAUAUUUAGAGAAAAAUUGAAUUAUGUUUAUACCUAAAAUUAUUAAAGUAGUUCAAACAUAAUAAUGUCAGGUUGAUACUGUACCCUAAUGUACUGCAUUGAUUUUUAUACAAUAAAGAGGUCAUUUCCAAAGGA
This is a long non-coding RNA of Girardinichthys multiradiatus, 2537 nucleotides long. RefSeq lists it as uncharacterized. Lineage: Eukaryota; Metazoa; Chordata; Actinopteri; Cyprinodontiformes; Goodeidae. The record is from RefSeq and is a predicted model, not a curated record. The transcript is spliced from 3 exons.